Molecule: ribosomal RNA, 435 nt
Filed under: uncultured bacterium
Lineage: Bacteria
Description: bacterial SSU rRNA
Rfam family: Bacterial small subunit ribosomal RNA
Source: RNAcentral
CGCGAAGAACCUUACCAGCCCUUGACAUCCCGAUCGCGGUUACCAGAGAUGGUUUCCUUCAGUUAGGCUGGAUCGGUGACAGGUGCUGCAUGGCUGUCGUCAGCUCGUGUCGUGAGAUGUUGGGUUAAGUCCCGCAACGAGCGCAACCCUCGCCCUUAGUUGCCAUCAUUCAGUUGGGCACUCUAAGGGGACUGCCGGUGAUAAGCCGAGAGGAAGGUGGGGAUGACGUCAAGUCCUCAUGGCCCUUACGGGCUGGGCUACACACGUGCUACAAUGGUGGUGACAGUGGGCAGCGAGACCGCGAGGUCGAGCUAAUCUCCAAAAGCCAUCUCAGUUCGGAUUGCACUCUGCAACUCGAGUGCAUGAAGUUGGAAUCGCUAGUAAUCGUGGAUCAGAAUGCCACGGUGAAUACGUUCCCGGGCCUUGUACACACCG